AGGAAGGUGGGGAUGACGUCAAGUCAUCAUGGCCCUUACGGCCUGGGCUACACACGUGCUACAAUGGUCGGUACAAAGGGUUGCCAAGCCGCGAGGUGGAGCUAAUCCCAUAAAACCGAUCGUAGUCCGGAUCGCAGUCUGCAACUCGACUGCGUGAAGUCGGAAUCGCUAGUAAUCGCGCACCAGCCAUGGCGCGGUGAAUACGUUCCCGGGCCUU
This 217-nucleotide ribosomal RNA is filed under the name uncultured Pseudomonas sp. RNAcentral describes it as "partial 16S ribosomal RNA". It matches the Rfam family "Bacterial small subunit ribosomal RNA", at positions 1167 to 1382 of the family's 1533-position model. The record is from RNAcentral. Lineage: Bacteria; Pseudomonadati; Pseudomonadota; Gammaproteobacteria; Pseudomonadales; Pseudomonadaceae.